CCUACGGGUGGCUGCAGUGGGGAAUAUUGGACAAUGGGCGAAAGCCUGAUCCAGCCAUGCCGCGUGUGUGAAGAAGGCCUUCGGGUUGUAAAGCACUUUCAGUGGGGAAGAAAGCCUUGGGGCUAAUACCCUCGAGGAAGGACAUCACCCACAGAAGAAGCACCGGCUAACUCCGUGCCAGCAGCCGCGGUAAUACGGAGGGUGCGAGCGUUAAUCGGAAUUACUGGGCGUAAAGCGCGCGUAGGCGGUCUGAUAAGCCGGUUGUGAAAGCCCCGGGCUCAACCUGGGAACGGCAUCCGGAACUGUCAGGCUAGAGUGCAGGAGAGGAAGGUAGAAUUCCCGGUGUAGCGGUGUAAUGCGUAGAGAGCGGGAGGAAUACCAGUGGCGAAGGCGGCCUUCUGGACUGACACUGACGCUGAGGUGCGAAAGCGUGGGUAGCAAACAGGAUUAGAUACCCCGGUAGUC
Molecule: ribosomal RNA, 465 nt
Filed under: Vreelandella stevensii
Lineage: Bacteria; Pseudomonadati; Pseudomonadota; Gammaproteobacteria; Oceanospirillales; Halomonadaceae
Description: partial 16S ribosomal RNA
Rfam family: Bacterial small subunit ribosomal RNA
Source: RNAcentral